This 253-nucleotide ribosomal RNA is filed under the name uncultured bacterium. RNAcentral's name for it is "partial 16S ribosomal RNA". It matches the Rfam family "Bacterial small subunit ribosomal RNA", at positions 524 to 776 of the family's 1533-position model. The record is from RNAcentral.
UACGUAGGUGGCAAGCGUUGUUCGGAAUUAUUGGGCGUAAAGGGCGCGUAGGCGGUCUUGUAAGUCAGCUGUGAAAGCCCGGGGCUCAACCCCGGAGGGUCGGCUGAUACUGCAGGACUGGAGUACGGAAGAGGUAGCUGGAAUUCCCGGUGUAGCGGUGAAAUGCGUAGAUAUCGAGAGGAACACCUGCGGCGAAGGCGGGUUGCUGGGCUGAUACUGACGCUGAGGCGCGAAAGCCAGGGGAGCGAACGGG